RNAcentral lists this ribosomal RNA (468 nucleotides) under uncultured bacterium. RNAcentral's name for it is "partial 16S ribosomal RNA". It matches the Rfam family "Bacterial small subunit ribosomal RNA", at positions 28 to 507 of the family's 1533-position model. The record is from RNAcentral.
GACGAACGCUGGCGGCGUGCUUAACACAUGCAAGUCGAACGGAAAGGCCCUGCUUUUGUGGGGUUCUCGAGUGGCGAACGGGUGAGUAACACGUGAGUAACCUGCCCUUGACUUUGGGAUAACUUCAGGAAACUGGGGCUAAUACCGGAUAGGAGCUCCUGCUGCAUGGUGGGGGUUGGAAAGUUUCGGCGGUUGGGGAUGGACUCGCGGCUUAUCAGCUUGUUGGUGGGGUAGUGGCUUACCAAGGCUUUGACGGGUAGCCGGCCUGAGAGGGUGAACGGCGACAUUGGGACUGAGAUACGGCACAGACUGCUACGGGAGGCAGCAGUGGGGAAUAUUGCACAAUGGGCGGAAGCCUGAUGCAGCAGCGCCGCGUGCGGGAUGACGGCCUUCGGGUUGUAAACCGCAUUCGCCUGUGACGAAGCGUGAGUGACGGUAAUGGGUAAAGAAGCACCGGCUAACUACGUG